Molecule: unclassified non-coding RNA, 306 nt
Filed under: plant metagenome
Description: partial contains 5.8S ribosomal RNA, internal transcribed spacer 2, and large subunit ribosomal RNA
Rfam family: 5.8S ribosomal RNA (bases 1-105)
Source: RNAcentral
GAAAUGCGAUAAGUAGUGUGAAUUGCAGAAUUCAGUGAAUCAUCGAAUCUUUGAACGCACAUUGCGCCCUUUGGUAUUCCUUAGGGCAUGCCUGUUCGAGCGUCAUUUAAACCCUUCAAGCUCAGCUUGGUGUUGGGUGACUGUCCGACGCCUCCGGGCGUGGACUCGCCCCAAACUCAUUGGCGGCCGGUACGUAGGCUUCGAGCGCAGCAGAAACGCGAACUCGGGCCCGCGGUGUCGGCUCCCAGAAGCUACACCCACCCAGUUUGACCUCGGAUCAGGUAGGGAUACCCGCUGAACUUAAGC